GUUGACCUCGGAUCAGGUAGGAAUACCCGCUGAACUUAAGCAUAUCAAUAAGGCGGAGGAA
Molecule: ribosomal RNA, 61 nt
Filed under: Colletotrichum truncatum
Lineage: Eukaryota; Fungi; Ascomycota; Sordariomycetes; Glomerellales; Glomerellaceae
Also listed under: 6 other names
Description: partial 28S ribosomal RNA
Source: RNAcentral